This is a microRNA precursor of Sorghum bicolor (sorghum), 109 nucleotides long. It matches the Rfam family "MIR5565 microRNA precursor family". NCBI's taxonomy places the organism in Eukaryota, Viridiplantae, Streptophyta, Magnoliopsida, Poales, Poaceae. The record is from Rfam.
GUAGUCGGAUUCACUUCAAUCCAUAUGUGUUGGUGUGGAUUGGGAUGAAAUAUAGUUCAAGUUCCACUCCAAUCCACCUCAACACAUGUGGAUUGAUUUGAAUCCAACU